Molecule: ribosomal RNA, 525 nt
Filed under: Plectosphaerella cucumerina
Lineage: Eukaryota; Fungi; Ascomycota; Sordariomycetes; Glomerellales; Plectosphaerellaceae
Description: eukaryotic LSU rRNA
Rfam family: 5.8S ribosomal RNA (bases 183-336)
Source: RNAcentral
UCGUAACAAGGUCUCCGUUGGUGAACCAGCGGAGGGAUCAUUACUGAGUACUACACUCUCUACCCUUUGUGAACUAUUAUACCUGUUGCUUCGGCGGCGCCCGCGAGGGUGCCCGCCGGUCUCAUCAGAAUCUCUGUUUUCGAACCCGACGAUACUUCUGAGUGUUCUUAGCGAACUGUCAAAACUUUUAACAACGGAUCUCUUGGCUCCAGCAUCGAUGAAGAACGCAGCGAAACGCGAUAUGUAAUGUGAAUUGCAGAAUUCAGUGAAUCAUCGAAUCUUUGAACGCACAUGGCGCCUUCCAGUAUCCUGGGAGGCAUGCCUGUCCGAGCGUCGUUUCAACCCUCGAGCCCCUGUGGCCCGGCGUUGGGGAUCUGCCACGGCAGGCCCCUAAAACCAGUGGCGGACCCGAAGGCCCUCUCCUUUGCGCAGUAGCAUCAGCCUCGCAUUGGGAUCCCUCGGCGUCCUGCCUCUAAACCCCCCACAAGUCCGCUCCGGCGGCACCAAGGUUGACCUCGGAUCAGG